CGGUGAAAUGCGUAGAUAUUAGGAGGAACACCAGUUGCGAAGGCGGCUCUCUGGACUGUAACUGACGCUGAGGCACGAAAGCGUGGGGAGCAAACAGGAUUAGAUACCCGGUGAAAUGCGUAGAUAUUAGGAGGAACACCAGUUGCGAAGGCGGCUCUCUGGACUGUAACUGACGCUGAGGCACGAAAGCGUGGGGAGCAAACAGGA
RNAcentral lists this ribosomal RNA (207 nucleotides) under Klebsiella pneumoniae. RNAcentral describes it as "partial 16S ribosomal RNA". The stretch from base 1 to 140 matches the Rfam family "Bacterial small subunit ribosomal RNA", at positions 679 to 873 of the family's 1533-position model. The record is from RNAcentral. Lineage: Bacteria; Pseudomonadati; Pseudomonadota; Gammaproteobacteria; Enterobacterales; Enterobacteriaceae.